Chelonoidis abingdonii (Abingdon island giant tortoise) is the source of this 955-nucleotide non-coding RNA. Lineage: Eukaryota; Metazoa; Chordata; Testudines; Testudinidae. The record is from RefSeq and is a predicted model, not a curated record.
GCACGGCGCGGGUCUGGCGCUGCUUGCACAAAGGGGCUGCGCGGAGGAAAUGGCGGCCGUGGGGGCUGAGGGUGGUGGCAAAAUGGAGGAGACAGCGGCGGCGGCGGCUAACGGGGCAGGCGGCGCCGGGGACGGGCCCCCUAAGAGCUUCUGAGGAUUAGAGCACCUCUUGAAAAAUCCCCCCUUGGUCGCUUCCUUAUCUGGCAGAGGCACUCCACUGGUGUGUAGGGAAGGGCCCCGAAGGCCGCAUGUGCAGAAGCACAAGAAACAUACAGAAUCAUGAUUGUUAGUGCAUGCGCCACAUCAAAUCAUUAGAGUAAAAUGCACCCCCUUUUUUCUUUUUCCUUUACAUAAUCAGUUUCUCACUGUCCCUUGGCAAGCUCACAGCUUCAGUGAACACCCUAAACAUGUGACGGUGAACGACCAAGCCAGAAUGAAAAAAGGAAAGAGAAAAGUGUCAAAAGAGGGGGAAAUCGUUUUGAGCCAUAUGCCAACCCUGCUAAAAGAUAUCGAGCUUUUAUCACAAAUAUUCCAUUUGAUGUGAAGUGGCAAUCUCUCAAAGACCUGGUCAAAGAGAAAGUUGGUGAGGUAACAUACGUGGAGCUCUUAAUGGACGCUGAAGGAAAGUCAAGGGGAUGCGCUGUUGUUGAAUUUAAGAUGGAAGAAAGCAUGAAGAAGGCUGCCGAGGUUCUGAACAAGCAUAGUCUCAGUGGAAGACCUCUGAAAGUGAAAGAAGAUCCUGAUGGCGAGCAUGCCAGAAGAGCAAUGCAGAAGGCCAUGGCAGCAGCUGGUGGCAUGGGUAUUGGCCCAGGACCAGGAGGCCCUGGAAUGAUCAACAUACCACCCAGCAUUCUCAAUAAUCCCAACAUACCCAAUGAGAUUAUCCAUGCUUUACAGGCUGGGAGACUUGGAAGUACAGUAUUUGUUGCAAAUGUAAGUACGGUGUGAUGUCUGG